Acanthosepion pharaonis is the source of this 114-nucleotide non-coding RNA. NCBI's taxonomy places the organism in Eukaryota, Metazoa, Mollusca, Cephalopoda, Sepiida, Sepiidae. The record is from the annotation of a GenBank genome assembly.
UUACGGCCACAUCACGUUGAAACACCGGUUCCCGUACGAUCAUCAAAGUUAAGCAACGUCGAGUCUGGUCAGCACGUAGAUGCGUAACGACGUGGGAAUACCAGGUGCUGUAAG